UACGGGGGGGGCAAGCGUUGUCCGGAAUUAUUGGGCGUAAAGAGCUUGUAGGCGGUUUGUCGCGUCUGCUGUGAAAUCUCAAGGCUCAACCUUGAGCUUGCAGUGGGUACGGGCAGACUAGAGUGUGGUAGGGGAGACUGGAAUUCCUGGUGUAGCGGUGAAAUGCGCAGAUAUCAGGAGGAACACCGAUGGCGAAGGCAGGUCUCUGGGCCACUACUGACGCUGAGAAGCGAAAGCAUGGGGAGCGAACAGG
Molecule: ribosomal RNA, 253 nt
Filed under: uncultured bacterium
Lineage: Bacteria
Description: partial 16S ribosomal RNA
Rfam family: Bacterial small subunit ribosomal RNA
Source: RNAcentral